Molecule: ribosomal RNA, 266 nt
Filed under: uncultured Peptostreptococcaceae bacterium
Lineage: Bacteria; Bacillati; Bacillota; Clostridia; Peptostreptococcales; Peptostreptococcaceae
Description: partial 16S ribosomal RNA
Rfam family: Bacterial small subunit ribosomal RNA
Source: RNAcentral
UCGAGCGAACCCUUCGGGGUGGGCGGCGGACGGGUGAGUAACGCGUGGGUAACCUGCCCUGUACACACGGAUAACAUACCGAAAGGUAUGCUAAUACGAGAUAAUAUGUAAUGAUCGCAUGAUCGAUACAUCAAAGCUCCGGCGGUACAGGAUGGACCCGCGUCUGAUUAGCUAGUUGGUGAGGUAAUGGCUCACCAAGGCGACGAUCAGUAGCCGACCUGAGAGGGUGAUCGGCCACAUUGGAACUGAGACACGGUCCAAACUCC